GGGGUGGUGGCGCAGUUGGCUAGCGCGUAGGUCUCAUAAUCCUGAGGUCGAGAGUCCGAGCCUCUCUCACCCCA
RNAcentral lists this transfer RNA (74 nucleotides) under Zingiber officinale. RNAcentral's name for it is "tRNA-Met". It matches the Rfam family "tRNA". From Rfam's summary of the family: Transfer RNA (tRNA) molecules are approximately 80 nucleotides in length. Their secondary structure includes four short double-helical elements and three loops (D, anti-codon, and T loops). Lineage: Eukaryota; Viridiplantae; Streptophyta; Magnoliopsida; Zingiberales; Zingiberaceae. The record is from RNAcentral.